AAACUCUUUCUUCAUAAAUGAUGUGACAUGUCAUCAAAAUAGCUGAUGUAGCAGGCUAAUUAAUACAUGAAACACCCAUGAAACCUCUACUGUGAAUAGCCUUAAACACCGACGCCGCGCUCACUCGCAGGAGGUGUGGCCGUGGCGGACUGGCGGUGGCCUAGCCGUGGUGGCCGGCCGCCGCGCUGUUCCAGAGGGGACACCCACCGCCCGCACGGCACGUGGUGGCACGCACUUUGCCAAGUGCAGCUGCUGAGGCUGGCCGGGGGCUCCACCACCGCACCCUUCCCUCCGCCGGUUCCGGUUCCGGGCCGGCCGACGCCUGCCCCCACCCACGACGGAAGCUAGGCGCUGAUCUGAUGUGCACGUCCCAACCCAGCCGGCUGGCAGGGACCCUGUAGCCUGUACGCAGCGAAAAAAGGCGAAGGAGUAGACCGAUCAGGCCGUGCGGUGCGGUGCGGUGCAGGCCGGCAUCAGUUACUGCAGCGCACGACGCCUGCCUGCCGGUACCUUGCCGUGCUGCACAUCAGUUCCUUCUUUUGGACGCGUCGCGCCUGUUCGUGCGCCUGCCAGUUGCCAGCUCGUAGUAACCCGCCGGUACAGUGCUGCUGUGGUCGCUGUGCCCCUGCGCGACUCGUCGCUUCAGAUCCAGCGGCGUCGAAGCAAAAGGCAAAACGCCUUCGCUGCCCGGAAGAGCGCGCCGUGGACGAGAACGGGAAGCAAGCGAUGGAGCUGCAGCUGCGCCGGCGAUCCGGCGAGGCCAGCAAUAAUGCAGCGGCGAGCAUUAUUGCCGGGAGAUCGACCAGUGAUUGUUUGUGGACUCGUAGUGGGGGAGCGACUCGGCUCCAUCGCCCCGCCUUUCUUUCUUUUUUAUAAAGCCUGACAACCAAACAUGGCAGGCCGUGCCCGUGCAUGAUCUAUCUAUCCAGCUCCCCCAGCAUCCAUCCCUCUUCUCUAUUUUUUCCCCCCUUCGAGAAUUGAUGCACGCAACAUGCCGUCGGUUCGUGGUCGGCAGGCAGGUACGGCCCAGAAGGGGUACUACGACUACGAGCGCGGCCAUGUUCGCGUUUGCUUGCUCGGCAAUCUCUCCUGUGUCUCGCAGUGUACAACCAGCGUUACGUCAUUCGGUUCGCGUCUGGUCUGUCGUCUUCGCCCGACUCGGUCGCUUGUUCAGGAACAAGUCGUCUGUGGCUCUGGAUGAUGCCUGCGAGCGAGCAGUGGUACUGGGCAGAGAAGCAACUCCGAGUUCCGUGGUGCAGGUGGCAGGUGAACAUGACACGCACGCACGAUCGGACAUGAAAAAUCUGCUGAGGCAGGACUCGAGGCUAAACUUUUCAAUCGAACACCCUUCAGGUACUAGAAGCAAUUACACAUUGCAUUACUAUCACCACCAAUUCACACACCAUCAGCGCACACUCAUCA
Molecule: long non-coding RNA, 1422 nt
Organism: Zea mays
Lineage: Eukaryota; Viridiplantae; Streptophyta; Magnoliopsida; Poales; Poaceae
Exons: 2
Source: RefSeq, a predicted model, not a curated record